GCCCGAGUGGUGGAAUUGGUAGACACGCAGGACUUAAAAUCCUGUGGCCAGUAUUGGCCGUGCCGGUUCGAGCCCGGCCUCGGGUA
Molecule: transfer RNA, 86 nt
Filed under: Bacteroidota bacterium
Lineage: Bacteria; Pseudomonadati; Bacteroidota
Also listed under: 1 other name
Description: Bacteroidetes bacterium tRNA-Leu
Rfam family: tRNA
About the family: Transfer RNA (tRNA) molecules are approximately 80 nucleotides in length.
Source: RNAcentral